AACGCUAGCUACAGGCUUAACACAUGCAAGUCGAGGGGCAGCAUGUUGGUUGCUUGCAACCAAUGAUGGCGACCGGCGCACGGGUGAGUAACGCGUAUCCAACCUUCCCCUUACUCGGGUCCAGCCCGUUGAAAGACGGAUUAAUCCCCGAUGCUCUCAUAUACUGGCAUCAGUUUAUGAGCAAAGAUUUAUCGGUAAGGGAUGGGGAUGCGUAUGAUUAGCUUGUUGGUGUGGUAACGGCUCACCAAGGCUACGAUCAUUAGGGGUUCUGAGAGGAAGGUCCCCCACACUGGAACUGAGACACGGUCCAGACUCCUACGGGAGGCAGCAGUGAGGAAUAUUGGUCAAUGGAGGCAACUCUGAACCAGCCAAGUAGCGCGAAGGAUGACUGCCCUAUGGGUUGUAAACUUCUUUUAUAAAGGAAUAAAGUGGUCCACGUGUGGAUUUUUGUAUGUACUUUAUGAAUAAGGAUCGGCUAACUCCGUGCCAGCAGCCGCGGUAAUACGGAGGAUCCAAGCGUUAUCCGGAUUUAUUGGGUUUAAAGGGAGCGUAGAUGGAUUUUAAGUCAGUUGUGAAAGUUCGGGGCUCAACCCCGUAAUUGCAGUUGAUACUGGAUAUCUUGAGUACAGUUGAGGUAGGCGGAAUUCGUGGUGUAGCGGUGAAAUGCUUAGAUAUCACGAAGAACUCCGAUUG
Molecule: ribosomal RNA, 693 nt
Filed under: uncultured bacterium
Lineage: Bacteria
Description: bacterial SSU rRNA
Rfam family: Bacterial small subunit ribosomal RNA
Source: RNAcentral